This 148-nucleotide non-coding RNA is filed under the name Pan troglodytes (chimpanzee). The record is from Rfam by way of RNAcentral. Lineage: Eukaryota; Metazoa; Chordata; Mammalia; Primates; Hominidae.
GCCAGGCAUGGUGGUGCAUGCCUGUAAUCCCAGCUACUCAGGAGGCUGAGGCAGGAGAAUUGCUUGAACCUGGGAGGCAGAGGUUGCAGUGAGCCGAGAUCUUGCCACUGCACUCCAGCCUGGGUGACAGAGCGAGACUCUGUCUCAA